GACGAACGCUGGCGGCGUGCUUAACACAUGCAAGUCGUACGGUAAGGCCCUUUCGGGGGUACACGAGUGGCGAACGGGUGAGUAACACGUGAGUAACCUGCCCACAACUUUGGGAUAACGCUAGGAAACUGGUGCUAAUACUGGAUAUGUGCUCCUGCUGCAUGGUGGGGGUUGGAAAGCUCCGGCGGUUGUGGAUGGACUCGCGGCCUAUCAGCUUGUUGGUGGGGUAGUGGCCUACCAAGGCGGCGACGGGUAGCCGGCCUGAGAGGGUGACCGGCCACAUUGGGACUGAGAGACGGCCCAGACUCCGACGGGAGGCAGCAGUGGGGAAUAUUGCACAAUGGGCGCAAGCCUGAUGCAGCAACGCCGCGUGCGGGAUAACGGCCUUCGGGUUGUAAACCGCUUUCAGCAGGGACGAAGCUUUUUGUGACGGUACCUGCAGAAGAAGCACCGGCUAACUACGUG
RNAcentral lists this ribosomal RNA (465 nucleotides) under uncultured bacterium. Its description in RNAcentral is "partial 16S ribosomal RNA". It matches the Rfam family "Bacterial small subunit ribosomal RNA", at positions 28 to 507 of the family's 1533-position model. The record is from RNAcentral.